GUGAGGGAUCGCUGUCCUGAUAUCCAGAAGCUCUUUGUCUAAUCCGAGGUGAGGGAUCGCUGUCCUGAUAUCCAGAAGCUCUUUGUCUAAUCCGAGGUGAGGGAUCGCUGUCCUGAUAUCCAGAAGCUCUUUGUCUAAUCCGAGGUGAGGGAUCGCUGUCCUGAUAUCCAGAAGCUCUUUGUCUAAUCCGAGGUGAGGGAUCGCUGUCCUGAUAUCCAGAAGCUCUUUGUCUAAUCCGAGGUGAGGGAUCGCUGUCCUGAUAUCCAGAAGCUCUUUGUCUAAUCCGAGGUGAGGGAUCGCUGUCCUGAUAUCCAGAAGCUCUUUGUCUAAUCCGAGGUGAGGGAUCGCUGUCCUGAUAUCCAGAAGCUCUUUGUCUAAUCCGAGGUGAGGGAUCGCUGUCCUGAUAUCCAGAAGCUCUUUGUCUAAUCCGAGGUGAGGGAUCGCUGUCCUGAUAUCCAGAAGCUCUUUGUCUAAUCCGAGGUGAGGGAUCGCUGUCCUGAUAUCCAGAAGCUCUUUGUCUAAUCCGAGGUGAGGGAUCGCUGUCCUGAUAUCCAGAAGCUCUUUGUCUAAUCCGAGGUGAGGGAUCGCUGUCCUGAUAUCCAGAAGCUCUUUGUCUAAUCCGAGGUGAGGGAUCGCUGUCCUGAUAUCCAGAAGCUCUUUGUCUAAUCCGAGGUGAGGGAUCGCUGUCCUGAUAUCCAGAAGCUCUUUGUCUAAUCCGAGGUGAGGGAUCGCUGUCCUGAUAUCCAGAAGCUCUUUGUCUAAUCCGAGGUGAGGGAUCGCUGUCCUGAUAUCCAGAAGCUCUUUGUCUAAUCCGAGGUGAGGGAUCGCUGUCCUGAUA
Oncorhynchus keta (chum salmon) is the source of this 838-nucleotide long non-coding RNA. RefSeq lists it as uncharacterized. Lineage: Eukaryota; Metazoa; Chordata; Actinopteri; Salmoniformes; Salmonidae. The record is from RefSeq and is a predicted model, not a curated record. The transcript is spliced from 5 exons.